CAAUAGCGUAUAUUUAAGUUGCUGCAGUUAAAAAGCUCGUAGUUGGAUUUCGGGUGGGAAUGGCCGGUCCGCCGUUUCGGUGUGCACUUGCUACGCCCACCUUGCUGCCGGGGACGUGCUCUUGAGUUCACGCUCGGGACACGGAGUCGGCGAGGUUACUUUGAGUAAAUUAGAGUGUUCAAAGCAGGCCUACGCCCUGAAUACAUUAGCAUGGAAUAACACGAUAGGACUCUGGCCUAUCUUGUUGGUCUGUAGGACCGGAGUAAUGAUUAAGAGGGACAGUCGGGGGCAUUCGUAUUUCAUUGUCAGAGGUGGAAUUCUUGGAUUUAUGAAAGACGAACUACUGCGAAAGCAUUUGCCAAGGAUGUUUUCAUUAA
Molecule: ribosomal RNA, 377 nt
Filed under: uncultured eukaryote
Lineage: Eukaryota
Description: partial 18S ribosomal RNA
Rfam family: Eukaryotic small subunit ribosomal RNA
Source: RNAcentral